GGUUGGGGUUGGGGUUUUGCUGCACACGAAGGGAGGGGCUUUAAAGCCCAUAUGCUCUAGGAUAAGAACAAAAUAUACAACGGAGAAGCCGCAAUGUCAGUCAGGUUCAACAGGGGUGUCAGGCAAAAGCAGGAACCUUCCCACAAGAAAAUCCUUCGAUUCUCACUUUGGGGCUUCCAGUGAAGGAGGAACCACAUGAUGGAGACCCUCGAUCACCUCUUGGCUUCAUCCCGAGGGAACCACCUAAAGGGGAAGCCACUGAAUGUGUUUGCUUUGCAAACUGAGCAUCAUGGACUAUAGGGUUGUUA
RNAcentral lists this unclassified non-coding RNA (308 nucleotides) under Hevea brasiliensis (rubber tree). Lineage: Eukaryota; Viridiplantae; Streptophyta; Magnoliopsida; Malpighiales; Euphorbiaceae. The record is from RNAcentral.